AGUGAACGCUGGCGGUAGGCCUAACACAUGCAAGUCGAACGGCAGCACAGUAAGAGCUUGCUCUUACGGGUGGCGAGUGGCGGACGGGUGAGGAAUACAUCGGAAUCUACUUUUUCGUGGGGGAUAGCGUAGGGAAACUUACGCUAAUACCGCAUACGACCUACGGGUGAAAGCAGGGGAUCUUCGGACCUUGCGCGAUUGAAUGAGCCGAUGUCGGAUUAGCUAGUUGGCGGGGUAAAGGCCCACCAAGGCGACGAUCCGUAGCUGGUCUGAGAGGAUGAUCAGCCACACUGGAACUGAGACACGGUCCAGACUCCUACGGGAGGCAGCAGUGGGGAAUAUUGGACAAUGGGCGCAAACCUGAUCCAGCCAUACCGCGUGGGUGAAGAAGGCCUUCGGGUUGUAAAGCCCUUUUGUUGGGAAAGAAAAGCAGCAGGUUAAUACCCCGCUGUUCUGACGGUACCCAAAGAAUAAGCACCGGCUAACUUCGUG
RNAcentral lists this ribosomal RNA (492 nucleotides) under uncultured bacterium. RNAcentral describes it as "partial 16S ribosomal RNA". It matches the Rfam family "Bacterial small subunit ribosomal RNA", at positions 29 to 507 of the family's 1533-position model. The record is from RNAcentral.